RNAcentral lists this ribosomal RNA (253 nucleotides) under uncultured bacterium. RNAcentral describes it as "partial 16S ribosomal RNA". It matches the Rfam family "Bacterial small subunit ribosomal RNA", at positions 524 to 776 of the family's 1533-position model. The record is from RNAcentral.
AACGUAGGACACAAGCGUUAUCCGGAAUUACUGGGCGUAAAGGGCGUGCAGGCGGUUGGGUAAGUUAGGCGUGAAAGACUUCGGCUAAACCGGGGGAGGUCGUCUGAUACUGCGUAACUAGAGUGUGGUAGAGGCGUGUAGAAUUCCGGGUGUAGUGGUGAAAUGCGUAGAGAUCCGGAGGAAUACCAGUGGCGAAGGCGGCACGCUGGGCCAUAACUGACGCUAAGACUCGAAAGCAUGGGUAGCGAACGGG